RNAcentral lists this long non-coding RNA (464 nucleotides) under Salmo salar (Atlantic salmon). RNAcentral's name for it is "lncRNA (ENSSSAG00000108902.1, ENSSSAG00020065392.1, ENSSSAG00075042272.1)". The record is from RNAcentral. Lineage: Eukaryota; Metazoa; Chordata; Actinopteri; Salmoniformes; Salmonidae.
GCCUUACUGAAGAGCUCAGUAACUUUCAAUGUGGCACCGUCAUAGGAUGCCACCUUUCCAACAAGUCAAUUCAAGGAUCAACAGCGGGAUGACAUCUACAACCUGAAGGAAAAGAUGAAAACCGUGCAGGAAAGGAGUGAUGAUGCAAAGGUAUAUGUGGACCUGCUGAAGAAAGACCGACAAUGAAAACAAAAUUCACAAUGAUUUUAAGUCAAAAUGUUUCUCUUAUUGCAAUUUCACAAAUGUAUGUUAUAGCUGAAAUGUGACAUUUUACUUGUUACAGAGACAAUGCACUCCUCUUAGGGAGUGUAACUUUCCUUUGUGGCUGUGAAAAUAUCUUGUUUCAGUUCCUUUUUAUGUCUGUUAUCCCCACAGAUCAACCCGACGGUAGCUUUUUCAGUUGGACUUGAUGAAGUUUGUACCUUUUUAUUAUACAGUGCAUUCAGACCGUUGACUUUUUCCAC